RNAcentral lists this ribosomal RNA (253 nucleotides) under uncultured bacterium. Its description in RNAcentral is "partial 16S ribosomal RNA". It matches the Rfam family "Bacterial small subunit ribosomal RNA", at positions 524 to 776 of the family's 1533-position model. The record is from RNAcentral.
UACGGAGGGUGCGAGCGUUGUCCGGAAUCACUGGGCGUAAAGGGCGCGUAGGCGGCCUGAUAAGUAGGGGGUGAAAUCCUGAGGCUUAACCUCAGGGCUGCCUUCUAAACUGUCAGGCUCGAGCACAGUAGAGGCAGGUGGAAUUCCCGGUGUAGCGGUGGAAUGCGCAGAUAUCAGGAGGAACACCAAUAGCGAAGGCAGCUCGCUGGGACGGUAUUGACGCUAAGGCGCGAAAGCGUGGGGAGCAAACAGG